RNAcentral lists this long non-coding RNA (238 nucleotides) under Mytilus galloprovincialis (Mediterranean mussel). Lineage: Eukaryota; Metazoa; Mollusca; Bivalvia; Mytilida; Mytilidae. The record is from RNAcentral.
UUGAGUAUUCAUAGAAAAUUAAUUUUGUUUACAUACUGGUUCCCAGUUAUGCUCUCUGUGUUCCAUCUCACAGAGACAUAACUUGGGAAUGUUACCAGUAAAUAAACAUGUGCAUAUUGUUUACAUUGAAAUCUGUGGUAACCUUUCAUUCGAGGUAGGGGUAGUUAAGAAAAUUAGUGUUAGUUUAAACUCUGAGAAGUUCAGGGCAUAUAAACGUUGAAAAUAUGCCGCAGAGCCC